ACCAUAAACCCUAAACUCUAAACCCUAAAUCCUAAACCCUAAACCCUAAAUCCUAAACCCUAAAACCCUAGAGUUGAUGUUUUAGGGUUUAGAUUUGUAGGUUUAGGGUUUACGUUUAGGGUUUAGAGUUGAUGUUUUAGGGUUUAUAUUUGAAGGUUUAGGGUUUAGAGUUUAGAGUUGAUGUUUCAUUGUUUAGGGUUUAGAGUUGAUGAUUUAGGGUUUAAAGUUGAUGUUUUAAGUUUAGAUUUAGGGUUUAGGGUUUACGUUUAGGGUUUAGAAUUGAUGUUUUAGGGUUUUUGAUUUGAAGGUUUAGGGUUUAGGGUUUAGGGUUUAGAAUUGAUGUUUCGGGGUUUAGAGGUUAUGUUUCAUGGUUUAGAGUUGAUGAUUUAGGGUUUAGAGUUGAUGUUUUAAGCUUAGAUUAG
RNAcentral lists this long non-coding RNA (422 nucleotides) under Brassica napus (rape). RNAcentral describes it as "long non-coding RNA (BNAP_LNC010969)". The record is from RNAcentral. Lineage: Eukaryota; Viridiplantae; Streptophyta; Magnoliopsida; Brassicales; Brassicaceae.